AGAACGAACGCUGGCGGCGCGUCUAAGCAUGCAAGUCGAGCGGGAUACCUAGCUUGCUAGGUAUGAGAGCGGCGGACUGGUGAGUAACGCGUGGGUGACGUACCCUCCGGACGGGGAUAGCUCCUAGAAAUAGGAGGUAAUACCGGAUACGGUGCACUGUGUCAGAGGCAGUGCAGGAAAGGUUCUUUGAACCGCCGGAGGAGCGGCCCGCGUACCAUUAGCUAGUUGGUGAGGUAACGGCCCACCAAGGCGACGAUGGUUAUCCGGCCUGAGAGGGUGAACGGACACAUUGGGACUGAGAUACGGCCCAGACUCCUACGGGAGGCAGCAGCUAAGAAUAUUCCGCAAUGGGGGAAACCCUGACGGAGCGACGCCGCGUGGAUGAUGAAGGCCGGAAGGUUGUAAAAUCCUUUUAUACGUGAGGAAUAAGGAGAAUGAGAGAAACGUUUUCCGGUGACUGUAGCGUAUGAAUAAGCAACGGCUAAUUACGUGCCAGCCGCGGC
Molecule: ribosomal RNA, 503 nt
Filed under: uncultured bacterium
Lineage: Bacteria
Description: bacterial SSU rRNA
Rfam family: Bacterial small subunit ribosomal RNA
Source: RNAcentral